ACUAUUUUAUAGUAAAAAUUAUUAAUUAAUUUAAUUAAUUAAUAAAAAUUUAUCCUAUACUAGGAUCUAAAUAUGAUAUAUAGCAUGCAUGCAUUUAAAUUUGAAAUUUAAAUUUGAACAGUAAACACUUUACUGUAAUGUGUUCAAAACACAAUACCUUUGUGCGGAUAGUAGAUCACCACAAUUUGAUCACCGUCGGG
This 200-nucleotide long non-coding RNA is filed under the name Elaeis guineensis (African oil palm). Its description in RNAcentral is "long non-coding RNA (EGUI_LNC062931)". The record is from RNAcentral. Lineage: Eukaryota; Viridiplantae; Streptophyta; Magnoliopsida; Arecales; Arecaceae.